RNAcentral lists this unclassified non-coding RNA (426 nucleotides) under uncultured fungus. Its description in RNAcentral is "partial contains 5.8S ribosomal RNA, internal transcribed spacer 2, and large subunit ribosomal RNA". Lineage: Eukaryota; Fungi. The record is from RNAcentral.
AACGCAAAUGGCGCUUUCUGGUAUCCCAGGAAGCAUGCCUGUUUGAGGACCGUAGGGAAGGCUACAUCAUCGUAAGGAAAAGGGGGGUGGUCAGACAAUUGACUUUUGCCCGCCCCCCCUCCUGGGGUGGACAGUGGAUUACCGGCGUCGAUAGGUGUCGAUGCUUGUGCUCCGCAAUUGAUUCACGGGUGGAAUGGAUUUGACUCCCCCAGGCCAGAAGUUAAUAGGCGAGAGUUUUUCUCAUCUUCCCCGGGUCCGGGGGGGAUAUAGGAAGUCGCUCUUUCUCUUUAACGGCCGACGAAUCUGGAGAAAAAACCGGAAACCCGUGAAAGCAAAGGGUGUGGUUUUGGGAACACUUCCCCCAAUCAAUCACACACCACCACCGAACAUGGUCUCAAAUCAGGCAAGAGAACCCGCUGAACUUAA